GACGUAGGGCGCGAGCGUUGUCCGGAUUUAUUGGGCGUAAAGCGCACGCAGGCGGCUCUUCAAGUCUGACGUGAAAUCUCUCGGCUUAACCGGGAGCGGUCGUUGGAAACUGAAGGGCUUGAGGCGAUGAGAGGGGUGUGGAAUUCCCGGUGUAGUGGUGGAAUGCGUAGAUAUCGGGAGGAACACCAAUGGCGAAAGCAGCUUUCUGGGACGGUACUGACGCUGAGACGCGAAAGCGUGGGGAGCGAACAGG
Molecule: ribosomal RNA, 253 nt
Filed under: uncultured bacterium
Lineage: Bacteria
Description: partial 16S ribosomal RNA
Rfam family: Bacterial small subunit ribosomal RNA
Source: RNAcentral